GACGAACGCUGGCGGCGUGCCUAAUACAUGCAAGUCGAACGAACUCUGGUAUUGAUUGGUGCUUGCAUCAUGAUUUACAUUUGAGUGAGUGGCGAACUGGUGAGUAACACGUGGGAAACCUGCCCAGAAGCGGGGGAUAACACCUGGAAACAGAUGCUAAUACCGCAUAACAACUUGGACCGCAUGGUCCGAGCUUGAAAGAUGGCUUCGGCUAUCACUUUUGGAUGGUCCCGCGGCGUAUUAGCUAGAUGGUGGGGUAACGGCUCACCAUGGCAAUGAUACGUAGCCGACCUGAGAGGGUAAUCGGCCACAUUGGGACUGAGACACGGCCCAAACUCCUACGGGAGGCAGCAGUAGGGAAUCUUCCACAAUGGACGAAAGUCUGAUGGAGCAACGCCGCGUGAGUGAAGAAGGGUUUCGGCUCGUAAAACUCUGUUGUUAAAGAAGAACAUAUCUGAGAGUAACUGUUCAGGUAUUGACGGUAUUUAACCAGAAAGCCACGGCUAACUACGUGCCAGCAGCCGCGGUAAUACGUAGGUGGCAAGCGUUGUCCGGAUUUAUUGGGCGUAAAGCGAGCGCAGGCGGUUUUUUAAGUCUGAUGUGAAAGCCUUCGGCUCAACCGAAGAAGUGCAUCGGAAACUGGGAAACUUGAGUGCAGAAGAGGACAGUGGAACUCCAUGUGUAGCGGUGAAAUGCGUAGAUAUAUGGAAGAACACCAGUGGCGAAGGCGGCUGUCUGGUCUGUAACUGACGCUGAGGCUCGAAAGUAUGGGUAGCAAACAGGAUUAGAUACCCUGGUAGUCCAUACCGUAAACGAUGAAUGCUAAGUGUUGGAGGGUUUCCGCCCUUCAGUGCUGCAGCUAACGCAUUAAGCAUUCCGCCUGGGGAGUACGGCCGCAAGGCUGAAACUCAAAGGAAUUGACGGGGGCCCGCACAAGCGGUGGAGCAUGUGGUUUAAUUCGAAGCUACGCGAAGAACCUUACCAGGUCUUGACAUACUAUGCAAAUCUAAGAGAUUAGACGUUCCCUUCGGGGACAUGGAUACAGGUGGUGCAUGGUUGUCGUCAGCUCGUGUCGUGAGAUGUUGGGUUAAGUCCCGCAACGAGCGCAACCCUUAUUAUCAGUUGCCAGCAUUAAGUUGGGCACUCUGGUGAGACUGCCGGUGACAAACCGGAGGAAGGUGGGGAUGACGUCAAAUCAUCAUGCCCCUUAUGACCUGGGCUACACACGUGCUACAAUGGAUGGUACAACGAGUUGCGAACUCGCGAGAGUAAGCUAAUCUCUUAAAGCCAUUCUCAGUUCGGAUUGUAGGCUGCAACUCGCCGACAUGAAGUCGGAAUCGCUAGUAAUCGCGGAUCAGCAUGCCGCGGUGAAUACGUUCCCGGGCCUUGUACACACCGCCCGUCACACCAUGAGAGUUUGUAACACCCAAAGUCGGUGGGGUAACCUUUUAGGAACCAGCCGCCUAAGGUGGGACAGAUGAUUAGGGUG
RNAcentral lists this ribosomal RNA (1489 nucleotides) under Lactiplantibacillus plantarum. RNAcentral describes it as "bacterial SSU rRNA". It matches the Rfam family "Bacterial small subunit ribosomal RNA". The record is from RNAcentral. Lineage: Bacteria; Bacillati; Bacillota; Bacilli; Lactobacillales; Lactobacillaceae.